RNAcentral lists this ribosomal RNA (252 nucleotides) under uncultured bacterium. RNAcentral describes it as "partial 16S ribosomal RNA". It matches the Rfam family "Bacterial small subunit ribosomal RNA", at positions 15 to 257 of the family's 1533-position model. The record is from RNAcentral.
AAUCCUGGCUCAAGAUGAACGCUAGCUACAGGCUUAACACAUGCAAGUCGAGAGGCAGCAUUUUAGUUUGCUUGCAAACUAAAGAUGGCGACCGGCGCACGGGUGAGUAACACGUAUCCAACCUGCCGAUAACUCGGGGAUAGCCUUUCGAAAGAAAGAUUAAUAUCCGAUAGUAUAUUUUCUCCGCAUGGCGAGAAUAUUAAAGAAUUUCGGUUAUCGAUGGGGAUGCGUUCCAUUAGUUUGUUGGCGGGG